Molecule: long non-coding RNA, 1111 nt
Filed under: Sus scrofa (pig)
Lineage: Eukaryota; Metazoa; Chordata; Mammalia; Artiodactyla; Suidae
Description: lncRNA (ENSSSCG00050049252.1)
Source: RNAcentral
CAUGGCCUCGCUCAGUGGGUUAAGGAUCCAGAGUUGCCGUCAGCUAUGGUGUAGGUCGUAGAUGCAGAGGCUCAGAUCUCAUGUUGCUGUGGCUGUGGUGUAGCUCCAAAUAGACCUCUAUCCUAGGAACUUCCAUAUACCUCAGGUAUGGCCCUAAAAAAAAAAAAAAAGUUUUGUUUAAAAAUGAUAAUAUAAUUACUUAUUUUAUGUAAUAUAAAUUUUAAUAUGCAUAAGUAAGGUAUUUGUUUUAAAUAUUGUAAAUAGGCAGUUGACUACCUCACUUGCAUCUCUAAAUAUUUUUAUGUUGAAACUGACCGAAAAAAAAUCUUUAAUCGGAUUAUCUCAUUGGAAAAGUGGGGAGUUGCCUUAUGUCAUGAUCACCUUACAUUGUUAAGAUUUCUUAAAUUUUCUCAAAAAAUUUAUUUUCAACAUUUUCCAAAUCUGAAAGUGAGAUUCCUUUUUUUUUUUUUUUUUUUUUUUUUUUUUUGUUUUUGUUUUUGUCUUUUUGCCGUUUCUUGGGCCGCUCCCGUGACAUAUGGAGGUUCCCAGGCUAGGGGUCAAAUCGGAGAUGUAGCCACCGGCCUACACCAGAGCCAUAGCAACAGGGGAUCUGAGCCGCGUCUGCAACCCACACCACAGCUCACGGCAACGCCGGAUCGUUAACCCAAUGAGCAAGGGAAGGGAACGAACCCGCAACCUCAUGGUUCCUAGUCGGAUUCGUUAACCACUGCGCUACGACGGGAACUCCUGAAAGUGAGAUUCCUUUUACUUAUUGCUUUUCUAACCAUAUACCUUUUUUUUUUUUUUUGUCCUGUUUUGUAGGGCUUUCAGAUUCAGACAACUUUUAUUCCACAGCACUGUAAAAUAUCUUGUAACUGAAUAGAUGGCAUAAAAACAGCUAUGUGUCAGAGGUGCCAUAAAACCACGGACAAGACAGAGGAGAUCUAUGUAUGUAUAUAUAUAUACAUAUAUAUAUGGAGAGAGCAAGAGAGAGAGAGAGAUCCAUCUUAUAUACGGAGAGAGAUAAAGUCCUACGUUGGAUUAGCUGUCUGCAGAAUGUGGGUGAGCCAUUACCUCAGUUUCCCUCUAUCUCCUCUAGUCCUGAGGUCCC